Molecule: long non-coding RNA, 942 nt
Filed under: Cricetulus griseus (Chinese hamster)
Lineage: Eukaryota; Metazoa; Chordata; Mammalia; Rodentia; Cricetidae
Description: lncRNA (ENSCGRG00000024365.1)
Source: RNAcentral
ACUGAGGCCGCGCCGAAGUCUUCGUCCUCCGCACUUUUCCCCGCUGCUCCUCAGUGCUCGCAGACAGCGCCCCGGAACACAGCAAAACGGGGUUCCCUGCCCUCGGAGAGCCCUGUCACGUCGGCGCCCCAGCCCCUUAGCACAGUGCGGGAGACUGACUGGACCGCCAACUCCCAGGCUCUGCGUGGGCGCUCUCUCGAAUCUCCAGGCUAAUAGAGCUCUCCGGUUCAACUCAUUUUGUCUGCCCUUCCUUCCGAUCUCGGGUGGGCAACUAGCACACCACUUCCCCUUCCUCUGGACCCGCUCACAUGUCACCUUGUUAAAGGCAGUGACUGGGAAGAACAGAAGAGAGUCUGGGGGAAAGAUGACUUCCAACAGAAGGCAUGGACUGCAUAGGCCUGUGCCCAGUGACGGUUCAUAGACAACAAGGUGCUGGGAGAAGUCCUCAGAAUCCAGGAUAAAAGUUCUGGAACACUGAGACUUUGUCUCUCUUACUCAGUACCUCCUGGUCUAACAGCUUGUGGUGGACCCAGCAGACCGCCACAUGAGCUGACAAGUAGCGGAAGUCCCUUCCUUCCUCCAGCCAAGAGUGGGCCAGGAGAUGAAGUGGGACCGCGCUGCGCUUCCAGGAUCCUCUUUAGAAAGGACUUCUGAGGGACUUCAGAGAAGACGAGGGGAGCUGUUUUUUUCUCUGAACAGUUUAGUUAAUAUUAAACACUGUGACCCUUUUGCCUGAGCUUGAUACCGAAUCCUCACCCCUUACAUUGCGUUCUUCCUUUGUAAUAGAUCAUGCCUUCACUGGGGAGCGUUGGCAGUCUGAGGUUCCCCGCUCCACAGAACCCAGAACUCAACCUCCACGGGUCCCCCAGUAGUAGCUGCUGGCCACUGCAAGGCACGCGACAGACCAAGUCAGGUCGCCCAGCCCGCGUCCUUCGGGCCACU